AUACGGAGGAUGCGAGCGUUAUCCGGAUUUAUUGGGUUUAAAGGGUGCGCAGGCGGCCAUUUAAGUCAGCGGUUAAAUCGUGGGGCUCAACCCCAUUCUGCCGUUGAUACUGGGUGGCUUGAUUGCGGUCGAGGUUGGCGGAAUUCGUUGUGUAGCGGUGAAAUGCAUAGAUAUGACGAAGAACACCGAUUGCGUAGGCAGCUGACCAGACCGCAAAUGACGCUCAUGCACGAAAGUGCGGGGAUCGAACAGGAUUAGAUACCCUGGUAGUCCGCACAGUAAACGAUGAAUACUUGUUUUCGGCGAUAUAAUGUCGGAGGCAAAGCGAAAGCGAUAAGUAUUCCACCUGGGGAGUACGCCGGCAACGGUGAAACUUAAAGGAAUUGGCGGGG
This 392-nucleotide ribosomal RNA is filed under the name uncultured bacterium. Its description in RNAcentral is "partial 16S ribosomal RNA". It matches the Rfam family "Bacterial small subunit ribosomal RNA", at positions 523 to 918 of the family's 1533-position model. The record is from RNAcentral.